Biscogniauxia marginata is the source of this 131-nucleotide non-coding RNA. NCBI's taxonomy places the organism in Eukaryota, Fungi, Ascomycota, Sordariomycetes, Xylariales, Xylariaceae. The record is from the annotation of a GenBank genome assembly.
GGUCGGUUAGCUCAGUUGGUUAGAGCGGUAUGUAACAACAAGUGGUGUAAUUUCGCCGUUCUAAAAAUUACUAACUUCUCCUAGUCGUACUAAUAAUGCGAAGGUCAUGAGUUCGACCCUCAUACUGACCA